AGGACGAACGCUGGCGGCAUGCCUAACACAUGCAAGUCGAACGGGGGUAGACAAUACCCUAGUGGCGAACGGGUGAGUAACACAUAAGCAAUCUGCCCUUCACAGGGGGAUAACAGCGGGAAACUGCUGCUAAUACCGCAUAAGACCACAGUACCGCAUGGUACAGGGGUAAAAACGAAUCAGUGGUGAAGGAUGAGCUUAUGUCCCAUUAGCUAGUUGGUGAGAUAACAGCCCACCAAGGCGACGAUGGGUAGCCGACCUGAGAGGGUGAUCGGCCACACUGGAACUGAGACACGGUCCAGACUCCUACGGGAGGCAGCAGUGGGGAAUAUUGGGCAAUGGAGGAAACUUCCUUACCCAGCAAUGCCGCGUGAGUGAAGAAGGUCUUCGGACUGUAAAGCUCUUUGAUUGGGGACGAAGAAAGUGACGGUACCCAAAGAACAAGCCCCGGCUAACUACGUGCCAGCAGCUGC
This 473-nucleotide ribosomal RNA is filed under the name uncultured bacterium. RNAcentral describes it as "bacterial SSU rRNA". It matches the Rfam family "Bacterial small subunit ribosomal RNA", at positions 26 to 518 of the family's 1533-position model. The record is from RNAcentral.